GACGAACGCUGGCGGCGUGCCUAAUACAUGCAAGUAGAACGCACAGUUUAUACCGUAGCUUGCUACACCAUAAACUGUGAGUUGCGAACGGGUGAGUAACGCGUAGGUAACCUGCCUGGUAGCGGGGGAUAACUAUUGUAAACGAUAGCUAAUACCGCAUAAUAUUAAUUAUUGCAUGAUAAUUGAUUGAACGAUGCAAUUGCAUCACUACCAGAUGGACCUGCGUUGUAUUAGCUAGUAGGUGAGGUAACGGCUCACCUAGGCGACGAUACAUAGCCGACCUGAGAGGGUGAUCGGCCACACUGGGACUGAGACACGGCCCAGACUCCUACGGGAGGCAGCAGUAGGGAAUCUUCGGCAAUGGACGAAAGUCUGACCGAGCAACGCCGCGUGAGUGAAGAAGGUUUUCGGAUCGUAAAGCUCUGUUGUAAGGGAAGAACGGGUGUGAGAGUGGAAAGUUCACACUGUGACGGUAUCUUACCAGAAAGGGACGGCUAACUACGUG
This 505-nucleotide ribosomal RNA is filed under the name uncultured bacterium. Its description in RNAcentral is "partial 16S ribosomal RNA". It matches the Rfam family "Bacterial small subunit ribosomal RNA", at positions 28 to 507 of the family's 1533-position model. The record is from RNAcentral.